This 253-nucleotide ribosomal RNA is filed under the name uncultured bacterium. Its description in RNAcentral is "partial 16S ribosomal RNA". It matches the Rfam family "Bacterial small subunit ribosomal RNA", at positions 524 to 776 of the family's 1533-position model. The record is from RNAcentral.
UACAGAGGGUGCAAGCGUUAAUCGGAAUUACUGGGCGUAAAGCGUGCGUAGACGGUUAUGUAAGUCGGGUGUGAAAGCCCCGGGCUCAACCUGGGAAUGCCAUUCGAGACUGCAUAGCUAGGGUGCGGAAGAGGGAAGCGGAAUUUCAGGUGUAGCGGUGAAAUUCGUAGAUAUUCGGAAGAACACCAGUGGCGAAGGCGACUUACUGGACACAUAUUGACGCUGAGGUGCGAAAGCGUGGGGAGCAAACAGG